UGGCACUGCUCGUCAAACCACGCUGAGGCGGCGUCCCACAUGCCACAACUAGAAGGACUCACAACUAAAAAUAUACAACUAUGUACCGGGGGGCUUUGGGGAGAAAAAGGAAAAAAAUAAAAUCUUUAAAUGGUAUCUCUAGAAGAUCUCCUCUGCCUCAGUGAGAAUAACUCUCUUACUUGAGGGGCAAUGGACAAGUCUGCUUGGACCAUAGUCAGCUGCCUGAUAUUUUAUUUGUGCUCCCAAGAGGCUGUGCCAUAGCCAGGAUCGAUAGAUGUGUACAGAAUAGAUGUGUGGCUUUGGGAUUGAUGAAUUUGGGAACUUAGCUAUAACACUAAUUUAUGCCAGAUACAGACUCUAGGGAAUUUUAAAAAUGCAGUGCCCAGAGGGAAGCACAAAGGAGAAUUUGCCUCUAUGCUUCCUGGUUCCUGGCAGCGGUCCUCCUCAUGGAGUCAUGGAGGAGCUGUUCCAGGAUCGUUGGCAGGGCAGAGGCAGGCCUUGGUCAAGCUAAUUUACUCCCAUGUGAGUGAGUCCAGUGUGCUUGUCGUGAAUGACAGCUGGGCCCUGAUGGAUGUCAAGUGGUUGCAAGAGCUCCAAGGCAGGAACCUUCUUCUAGGCAAAAGCAACCUAAGACGUUGUCCACAGAUGCCUACAGGAGAAAAUCCAAAUUCCUUAACAUGGGUACAUACCUCCUUCACAAGUUUGCACUGUAUCCUGCUUCAGCAUCAUUUUUUUUGCCAAACCCGACUUGCACUCCCAUUCUCCAGCCACACCAAGCUAUUUGCCAAAUGGGCCCAGUGUUUAUAAACCUCAGCCUGGAAUGUCCUUCCAUGCCCUGGUUAACGCUUACUCAUGUUACACGACCCAACUGAAGCUCUUCUUGGCCCUCCACACCUUUUUGUGGAGUGCUGUGUCUCCUGCUUUGUGGCCCUCUGUACCUGUAAAUACUUCCAUAGUUGUACCAAUAACGUCUCUUUUUCUCUGGCUGUUUACAUAUCUGACAGUCCUUCUGUCUAUAAGUUCUUUUGAGGCAAGGCCGGUUUUUUUCCAGCUUUGUAUGUCCACUGCAGAUGCUCAAUUAAUGUUUUCUUAAAAUUAAUAAAUUAAAAAGUUGAAUGACUGGUUAAUUAGUUGUUCCCAAUUCUCAACUUUCUCAUAUUAAUGGAAGCUUUUUAGGGCUUUAUUUUUGUUUGUUUGUAAGU
This 1202-nucleotide long non-coding RNA is filed under the name Equus caballus (horse). RNAcentral describes it as "lncRNA (ENSECAG00000044246.1)". Lineage: Eukaryota; Metazoa; Chordata; Mammalia; Perissodactyla; Equidae. The record is from RNAcentral.